UCUCUCUCUUUCAGUAUGCAAUAUUACAUCAAUAACAUCUCCAGCUGCGUCAGCACUUCUGGUGAAAUGGAACAAAUACACUGGAGCAACAAACUACUUUUUGGACCUUCGGGUAAUAAAUGCGACAGAUAUAGCUCCUGUCGUGGUAACGCUACCAGCUACCAGUACGGAAAAACUGGUCCAGGGCCUGAGACCUGGAACCUUGUAUAGUGUUACGGUCAAAGUGUUCCAGUUCUACUAUGUUAUGUGCUUGAAAACACAAGUGGCCAAAACAGUUCCCGACACCUCUCAGAUAACCUCCUCAAGGGCAUUAUCAAGUACUUCAAUCCAAAUAGAAUGGGUGCGCGUGUACACCGCGGACCAUUAUCACCUGUUGAUGGAAUCAAAGACCAUGGUAGAGAGGCUUAAUUUGACCUUCACCAACAUGAGCGCUGUGGUCCAAAACCUGCAGCCUUCAACCGUCUAUGACUGUUACAUCUACACCGCAAACCAAGCUGGUCUUGGAGCGAGAAGCAGAGUGAGGACCAUUUCUACCUUGAUCCAACCGCCAAAGGGAGUUACAGCCAACCAGAUUGGAAAUAGUUCAGUGCGCCUCUUCUGGCAGCCAGUGGAAAAGGUUAUUCUUUACGAGGUGACGGUUACCGACCUGGAUGAACCAGACCACGCACUGUUCAAGACAAAAGUGUCACAAAACCAACUGGACAUAAGGGAUAUCCUGCCAUGUUCCUCUUAUCAGAUAUCAGUGGCUUCUGUCAACACCUUACUGGAGCCAGGAGAGCCUACUGAAUACACAUAUACUACAAACAGUGAGUAAGCUUUUAUAAUCCGUUUUAAAAUGAGUCAUUACUGUCAGAUAAACUAGGUAUUUU
Oncorhynchus kisutch (coho salmon) is the source of this 869-nucleotide long non-coding RNA. The record is from Ensembl. NCBI's taxonomy places the organism in Eukaryota, Metazoa, Chordata, Actinopteri, Salmoniformes, Salmonidae.